AUUGAACGCUGGCGGCAUGCCUUACACAUGCAAGUCGAACGGCAGCACGGGGCAACCUGGUGGCGAGUGGCGAACGGGUGAGUAAUGCAUCGGAACGUGCCAUUGAGUGGGGGAUAACGUGGCGAAAGUUGCGCUAAUACCGCAUAUUCUGUGAGCAGGAAAGCAGGGGACCGCAAGGCCUUGCGCUCUUUGAGCGGCCGAUGUCAGAUUAGCUAGUUGGUGAGGUAACGGCUUACCAAGGCGACGAUCUGUAGCGGGUCUGAGAGGAUGAUCCGCCACACUGGAACUGAGACACGGUCCAGACUCCUACGGGAGGCAGCAGUGGGAAUUUUGGACAAUGGGCGCAAGCCUGAUCCAGCCAUGCCGCGUGAGUGAAGAAGGCCUCGGUUGUAAGCUCUUGCCGGAGAAUCGCGAUGGGUUAAUACCCUGUGUGGAUGACGGUACCGGAAGUAAGAAG
Molecule: ribosomal RNA, 457 nt
Filed under: uncultured bacterium
Lineage: Bacteria
Description: bacterial SSU rRNA
Rfam family: Bacterial small subunit ribosomal RNA
Source: RNAcentral